UACGGGGGGGGCAAGCGUUGUUCGGAAUUACUGGGCGUAAAGGGCUCGUAGGCGGCCAACUAAGUCAGACGUGAAAUCCCUCGGCUUAACCGGGGAACUGCGUCUGAUACUGGAUGGCUUGAAUCCGGGAGAGGGAUGCGGAAUUCCAGGUGUAGCGGUGAAAUUCGUAGAUAUGGGGAGGAACACCGGUGGCGAAGGCGGCCACCUGGACGGUAACUGACGCUGAGACGCGAAAGCGUGGGGAGCAAACAGG
RNAcentral lists this ribosomal RNA (253 nucleotides) under uncultured bacterium. RNAcentral describes it as "partial 16S ribosomal RNA". It matches the Rfam family "Bacterial small subunit ribosomal RNA", at positions 524 to 776 of the family's 1533-position model. The record is from RNAcentral.